This 24015-nucleotide long non-coding RNA is filed under the name Marmota monax (woodchuck). The record is from RNAcentral. Lineage: Eukaryota; Metazoa; Chordata; Mammalia; Rodentia; Sciuridae.
GACAAGGGUUUGGAGAGCCAUUGGGCAAGCUCCAGGAAAAGCAGAGCUGCUGCUGUCCUGCUGAGAUCCCCCUCGAGCUGCUUUUACAGAGGAGAGACACCAGCAGGGCCAAGGGGGGAAUUCUGGGAAAUCGGAGAUGCCUGAAGCCACUCCCAGAAAGAGAAGCUGACUCCAAGUGACAGGCGGGGCCUGCUGGUGAGAAACAGCCCUGUGCUCUGGUGAGGUCCUGGUGAGUGGCAGCCCCUGCUGGGGAUGAGGGACCAGGGAAGCAACAGCAUUCCUGGGGCAGCGUGGUGGUUCUGGCCUUUCCCCAGGUCUGUAAACCCCCUCAGGCUAGGAAGGGCUUCUCCUCUCCUCCUCUGGGUCAGGAGAAAGGCAGGACAGCUUCUGUCCUCAGAUGUGAGCAGCAGGCCUGUGGAGGAUCCCGAAAGAGAGAGAAAGCCAAUCCAGCCCCUUCAGGCCUAGUGAGGAGGGCAGAGCCCAGGCGAGGGUGGGUCCUCUGGAGGAGCUGGCUUUGGGAGUCUGGCAUUGGAAAUUGAUUUAAUUUUGGCCUUGUCUCCCCCGCAACAGAGUUAAAUGGCAGUCACUCCAUUUAGAGGGGCACCGGCGGGGAUCUGGAGCUUUGGAGGACCCUCUUUCUCUAUGCAACAGAGGGACUAGCGGCAACCGUUUAGUCUCUGACUUUCAGGCUUCUGAGGGUAAAUCAGGAAAGUAGGGAUUUAUGUUCUAGAGUAAUCCAAAAUGAGUAAACCAUACUCUCCCUCCAAUGAGUGGCUUAAAUUCUCUUCAGCUUAUUGAGAUGAUUGAUAUGGGAAAAGUGGUCCUCGAAAUUAACUUUCCAGUAGGGGAUUGAUGAGAAGCAACCGUAUUCUAAAGAGAAUGACAGUAGUGAUAAUUGUUAUUAUAACGACAGUAAGGAAACCACCAUUUAAAGAAUAUUGUUCGCGAGCCAGGGCCUCUAUUAAGGGUUUAUGUGCCUCACCUUACUCCAUCCUUACAGCCCUCCUCUGGGCAUGAAUAUUGUGAUUCCUGCUUUGAGAAUGAAGCUGCUGAGGCUUAGAGAGGUUCCACUGCUUUCCCACACCAUGUCCCUGUUAAAAGGUGGCAGAGUUGGGAUUUGAACCUAAGGUCUGCUGGGUUCUGUAGUGAGUAGUGACUUGCAUCAUCUACUGGGGCAGCAAGGCACGUGGAAGUAGCACUGGCCUACCAGCCCACCAGGAGACAGAGCUAAGGGCGUCUCACUGUCAGAGUGGAGUCUGAGACCCUAAAGGAUGCAGCCCAGACAUUUCUAUCAGACCCUGUCACCCCCCACCAGGUUGUUCCCCCCUCCACAGCAUCCUCCAUUGGCUUGUUCUCCAUACUCUUCUACACCCCAGAGCCUUUGUGGGUGCUGGUCCUUAUUCUUGAAACCCUGUCCUCUCUCUUGCUUCUGGCACAUUCUUGCUCAGGCAAGAUGCCAUCUCCCUUUUGAAGAUGUUCUCUGAUUUCCAAACGGCCAGUCCUUUGGCUUCUGUCAUGGCACGCUCUGUAAUUAUUUGUUUUCAUCAACAUUCAUUCGGCAAAUACUUGCUGAGUGACUCAUCUGCUGGAACAUUGUGUUAGGUGCUUGUGAAUUUUCUCCUGUCCAUUUACCCUGUCCUCCAGGCACCUAACACGCCCUCAAAUUCACAGGUGGUUGGUUUUUGUUGAUGUUUGUUUGUGUGUGUUUCUUUAUAGAGAUGUGUUUUAUUUUUUCCCUGAAUUCCAGGGAAUUGACAAAGAAGGCCCAUAGAAAGUUCUCUCUAGCUAUUUGAUGAGUGCAUAUAAGACCUGGAACUUAUCCUACUUUUGAAUGACUAUGUUUUUCCCUAUAUAACCUGCUAGCAUCUUAGAUGUUUAUGAACAAAAGUUGGGUCUUGUUUUGCUUUUUUUCCCCACUGCUUGGCAUAGACAAGGAGUUUGGUACAUGUUUAUUGGCUGAAUGAUUAGUGAAAACUCUGAGGUCUGGAGAAUGAAUAUAUUAAUUCUUCAAGGAUGGAUCAAGCGCCCACGCUGGGUCUAACACUGAGAUCAUUGCUUGGGUAGCACCCAGAAGAGCUCACAUCCUUAGGAGUCUAAGUGUCCAGUGACCAGACCUAUACACAAAAGUGACAAAGGAAGGAUCCAGCAGAGGAUGAGCCCAGAUGCCAACCACUCACCCCCUGUGUCCAGGACCGAUGCUGGUCCCCAGCUGUGUCCUCAGCCCACUUCUGAUUCCCAAAGCUUGCUCCCUUAGAGGACUCUCUGCCUCUAGAGAGCAAUGACUGUGGCCCAUGAAAGGGCCCUGAGUUCCUGCCGGGUGAUUGCCCAUCUACUUGAGCCUGAAUUAAAGUAGAACAAAAGGCAGGGACCCUUCCUGCCCCUAAGCAUCAUUGCUUGUAUGCCUGGGAGGGACCACAGCUGGUCAUUUGGCCGGCUCUCAUCUCCUGUAGAAAUCAUGUAGGGGGAUGUGGGAAAUCGUUGUGGAAGGUAUAUUAACAUCCAGCCCCAGAAUUCUUUCUUGGGGGAAGAACUGUCUUAAAACUCAGAAGGCAAUGUUUCAGGAGACAAAGUGACAGAGAGAGAACGGGUGUUUGGGGCAUAAAAUAAAUGAGGAACUUGGAUGAGGGGAUUUGAAAGAAGAAAGGAAAAAAAGGAGAAGAGGACAAAGUAGAAUCUGGAAUAUGCAUUGGUGAAAGUUUUUAAGAAUGGGGUGUCUGAUAUUUGUUAGCACAUUUUGAGUGUGUGUGUGUGUGUGCGCACACGCACGCAAGUGCAUGUGCAUGUGUGCUGUAAAUCUUUCUCUGUCUUCUAUAAAGAUCUCUCCCUCCUCACCCUCAUGCACAAGAACCUCUAGUGGGUUUGGGGUAGAGGAGAGAAGAGAAAUUGAGGAAAAAUUGCUGAGUACCUUGUUUAUAUUGGCAAAGAAAACCCACACAGCUUUGUGGACCAUCCCCAAACUGAAGUAAUUUGUUGGAAUCAAGGGAUCACAGUGAGAGAUGACAGAAAUUCUCCAGGAGGAGAAUGGAACUUGUCUGUUGCAUGCAGGUUGGGGUCUCAAACCCACCUUUAUUUAACCCUCAAAGAAUAGGGGCAUUCAUUAGGAUUCUUUAGUCCUAAGUAACAGAAAUUGUGGCUAAAAUGUCAGUAAAAAAAAUCUCUCAGGAGUAUUCUCAGUGGUUCACAGAACUGAAAAGGAAGUCCAUCAGCCAGGUCCUGGUGAGUUGGAACUAGUGGACUGGACACCAGUCCAGGGACCCCGGGGGUGAACUGGCCUAGUGGUUUGCCAUGUUAAGGAGGCAUGGACCCCUUCAAGGUCACCUCCCCACAUGAUUGGCUGGGGCCGAAUGGAUUAGGGAAGUCACCAUUGACCAUUGUCUCAAAGAGAUUUGAUGAAGGAAAGAAAGGGGACACUUCUUCCAGAAAACUCCACAGAGGGGAUGCCAGGCCCACAGAAACACCCCAUGUUCAGGCCCACGGAUAGGUACCUUGACUCUGCACAUGCUGACUCAUAAGGGUUGAGCAGGUGACAUUGUCUCCUGUGCUCUCCAGGAAUGCAUUUUUAAAAAUUUAUUCGAAUUAGUUAUAUUUUCAGUGGGCUGCUGGUUAGAACUAACCAGCACCACAGCAGGGGCCGGCCAAUGGAGGAAAAGGGCAGGGCUGAGAAUGGAGUCCCCUGUCCUCCCGUGUUGGGCCCUACCUUCUACAUGGCGCCCUGGCCCUGCCAGCCCCACCCCCCAUCCUAGCCUUUGCUCCAGCUGUUCCCUCUACCUGGAAUCGCCUCCCCUUUCUUUGUCACCUGUUCAUUCACUUCAAACAAGAGAAUCCCCAGAAAGGAAUCUUUUCUAACCUUCCCCUUCCUCAAGAGGUAGGAGUGUCUCUCCAUCUCUACCCUUAUUCUAUUUCAUCUUUAAAAUAGUUAUUGCUUGUGAAAAUAGUCAACGCAGCACAUGGCAAACAUUUUCGGCAUACAAAGAGGGAUAGAGAGGAAAAGUGGGCCUCCCUUUGCCUCUGACCUCGGCUUUCCCGCCAGGGGACAGCGCUUUCCCAUCUCCUUCUAGAACACCCCACACAGACAACUCCACCCUCCCCGGGAGGCCCUGCUUUUUCAUUUUCUGGGCCUCUGAGGGGAAGGACUCCUUGUCUGCCUUUGGGGCGUGGGUGCCCUGCAGCUCCUUGUACAAGUUCAGCCACCAACAGCUUAGAGCUGUGUUUUUGCCCAAGGAGAAGCGGGAGGGCCGGGGGAUGGGUGCUGUCUGAGAUCACUUGGUGCCACGCUCUGUGAUCUAUGAGUUGCUUUUAAUUUCCUGUGCUGGCUGCCGGCAGCCGGAGGAAAUGAGGCAGAUAGCUGGGCUUCACAUCUAGCCCUGCCUGGACCCGGGCUUGUCUGCUUGCUGCAGGGUCACGGUCCUUAGAUCCUGGAGAAGAGCUGAGUGCCCUCCCCAAUCUCUGCACCUCCCCCACAACCCCCCCCCAAUUGAAGGAGGGGGCAGGUUGGUGACCUCAUGGCUGCAGGAGUCAGGGAGAGGGACUGAGUUUCUCACCUGGGCUUUGGGGUGAGACCCAGAUGGUUAGGGUUCUGGCUCUGUGGCCUCCCGGCCACCUGACUUUAGGGCAAGUUGCAUUGACUCUCUGAACCUCAGUUUUCUCUUCCAUAAAUGGGGCUAAUAGAAGGACCCAUUUCAAGGAAUUCUCAGGAGGAUUCAGAGAAUAGGAAUUCUGUGUGUGAGGCCAGAUGCUGAAGCCUGCCUCAAGCUGAGCUUGUGGCUGGUCUCCUUUGUCCUCUCUCUUCCUUCCAGCAUGCCUUCCCCUUCCAGGGACUAAGUGGCCUUAUUUUUCCUCAUCUCUUCUGACAUGAGCAGCAAUAAAUCCCAUGCUGCAGCUUCUUCCUGCCACCUCCCUUUGAUUUAGUGCCAUCUUUGUGCCAGGCAUGAUGCCUUUAAUGUGGGACAUGCCAGCUAAUCUCAACCACCCCUCCUAUUCUUGCUUUUGAGCUGGGGUUCCCUCAUGGUUUCCCCUCUGGAUAGGUACCUUGGCUAUUAUAGACAGAAUAAGGAAAGCCAGCAGCCUGGUGGUCAUUGGUACGAGGGGGCACGAUCUCCAUCGUUGGGUUUGCAUUUUCAGAGUAGUUUUAUAAAAAGAGGUCAGAGUCUAGUUCUGAAGAAUUAAUGAAAGCCGGGCCAAUGCGGCACACAUGUGCAAUCGCAAGGAUUCAGGAGGCUGAGGUGGGAGGAUCACAAAUUCAAGGUCAGCCUCAGCAAAUUAGGGAGACACUGUCUUCAAGUAAAAAGGGUCGGGGAUGUAGUUCAGCAUUAAAGCAUGACUAAGCUCAAUCCCCAGUACUAAACAAAAAGACAAGAAAAAAGAAAAGAAAAAGGAAGAAUUAAUUGAUCACAGGAGCAAGUCAACCUUCCUCAAUAGGCUUGAGAAGAGAGGAUUUUCUGGGGAACAAGGAAAGCCUUUCUAUCACCCUUAAGAAAACACAACAAAGGCCACUGCCUCCUCCCCCUGAAAUUAAGAUCAGCUCAGCAGGUGUCUCCAGAGAGCAGGGCCGAGUUCCUUGCUGUGAUGUUUUCACAAAGCAGGUAAACAGAGCGGCUGCUCCCUGAGUUCCACCUACUGAUGCUCAAGAUCAUUCAGGGAGCAUAAAGUGUCCCCUGAUUGAGUCCCCUGAAAACCAAAGAGGAUGCCCCACCUUUAACAAAGUGGUGCUGCUGGGUGCUGAGCCUUUGUCCUGAGCAGCUGCGGGGCUUCCCUGCACCUGCAAGUGUCACUGGCAGCUGGUGGCCCACCUGGUGCUCAGGUGGUGAAGGCAGCAAGAGAGGGGUGAGGAGGGAGAGUAGGGGCUGGGGCCACACUGGCUCUGAUGUGAUGCAUGCUUUGGCUCUGUGGACAUUUUAGGGGUAAUUGACUCCAUUCAUUUGCUAAUGAGGGAACCCAGGGAUGGGGAGUGACCAGGCUUACAUUCUACACCCACUUGUCCUGAAAUCACUACAAAAACGCCGCCUUCCACCAGAGUAAUCAGAGCACUGAAUAGUUAGCUCCUGUCACAUUUCAUGAGGGGAUUUCACCUUCUGUCUCCCCUUCCCUUUUCUUUCCUCACCUCCUUCCCUCCUCUGCUUACUCCUUCAUCUCUCCCUCUCCAUCCUCUCAUUUGGUCUUUACAGCAACCAGGCAAGCUUCCAAUAUUUUAAAGAUGAGUAACUGAGGCUCAGAGAGAGGACACUGCCUGCCUGGAGUCACACCAAGGUGAGUGCCAGAGGAGCGAUGGAGUGGCCACCAAAUGCCUCCCACUGAUGCUCCUUGCUCACACCUACUAGCUGUAAUCCCCAUUCAGGCUCCUUUGUCUGCUUCCUCCUCUGUGAAUAGGGCAGUGACAGUCGCCACCCCCCCCCCAUGGUACCUGAGUUAUAGAAAAUGCUCAUCACAGUAUGUGGCACUUAGCAAGGGUUUGAUCAAAGUCACCUUUACACCGUGCAUCUUGACAGUCCUAAACACUGUCACCAUGUAGAUGGUGUGCACCUGACGUUAUGUGUUGAACUUGAGCUUAUUUUGUGCUCCGCAGUGCAAAAGAUUUAUUUUGCAAUGCAAAUUAGACAGUAAUCCAAUCUUCAAUUGGCAAAGAUGUUAGUGCUGGUGAGUGUGUGGGGACACAGGAAAGAGAUGGGCAGAGUCACCCUUCACACAGUUAAUAGCAGGGGUACCCUCACUCCCCCGGGGGAGGAAUGCAAGGUGGGCUGCGCUGUCCUCUGCCACUGGGGGCAUGAAACUUGGCUUCCACCUUGGGAAGACCAACUUUGGAGUUGCACAUUAGAUGCUACAGAAAUCCUUUAGGGAUUUCGACCCCACAGUAGGCAUUCUUCAGAGAGUGGCAUUAAAAUGCAGGAAAGAAACUAAAAAAAGUCUCAUAGUUGUGUGGUCAGAUGGGGAGGAGGAGGUUUCAACUGUUCUUGGUUGCACAGUCAAUAAAAGAGUGACCUCUGAAAAGUGAACACAUUAAAAGCCAGCCUGCUGACCCUCUGGGGGUGACUCACAAACCCUCUCAAACUUACCUGCCCACCCUGCACUCAGGAUUCCAUUUCACCCUAUGACGCUUAUUGCUCCCUGCCCACCCUUUGGAUCCUUUUCAAUUGGCCCUGAAAGGAAGAUGAGCACUCUCUCCUCACAGGGCUGAUGUGUGCAAUAAGAGACAGACUUCACCUUAACGGGUUAGCUCAUAAGAAGUGGUGCUCAAGAACAGUAGCUCUUCUUGGGGAGAGUCUUCUUGGACCAGAUUCCUUUGGUAUUGGUUUGGUACUAAGGCAUAAUAAGGAUGUCUUGGGUAAGUCCUCUGAACCGCAGGUUUAUCACUUGUAAAGUGGGAGUAAUGAAGGUUGCUCAGAGUAUUCAUUGAGGAUAUAUGUAUUGCCCUUAGCAUGUCGCCUGUCACAUAGUAAGUUUUUAGCACCACAAAUGGUAGCUGUGAGUUCCUGCUAGAAUUGUUACAUCUUGGUUCCUCUCUGGGAGGUGGCUUCCUUCCACUAACCACCAUCUUUGUUGCCACCCGCUGGCCUGAUUGCUCAAGUGUGCCUGCCUCUGGGUCCAGCACUACGUUCCAGUCCCCUCCCUCUAGCAGGUGCGACGGUGAUAGACUCACUGUGAAUAGGCCUUCUGUGCUUGCCUGGGCUUGUUGGCUGGGGCUGUGUGCUGCCCUCGUUUUGCAGCUGAGGACACCGCCCUAGGACUGGGAUGUCUUGUGCAGAGUGGCGGCUCCAGGGCCUCCACCCCACUGUUGACUUUGGCAUGGAGGACUCUGGGGGAGUUCAGAGCAGCACAGAAAAAACAGUGCGGCUCUUGCCAAUUUCCUUGAGCUCUGAGGGAAAGAAACAGAAAAGCGUAACACGAGGAACAACAUGAAAAUGGGAUUGGAAGUUGCUGGAAGCCUUUGGGGCGUGCUCCAGGAGCCACAAGCUGUUCCUGUUUGGCUGCCUGGGGCUUCCUACUCUGUUGGAUGAGAGGAGGUGAGAUCUCACUGUCAGAGGGGUGGAGGCCGGUCCCUGGAGAUGGCAGAGGGAAAAGAUGGCGGAAGGCAUCUUUUACAGCGGUUUUCCUGUAUGGUGGGUAUGGAACCUUUUCUCCACCCUUCAGUUCCACUUGUGAUGAUAUCUGUGUUACUCUUUGGUGUUUGGGGAAUUAGAUUUGUUUGGGGGUGCCGAAUGUAAAUUCAAGGUUGGCAUUGAGUGUGAAAAGAAGUGGCCAAAGGGGAUUGGAUCUUAGAUGUUCCCCAAAGACCCAUGUGUUAAAGGCACGAUUGCCAGCCUGUGGCCCUGGGGAGAGGGAGGACCUUUAGGAGGUGAGGCUUAGGGCAAGCAAGUUAGGCCACUGGGGCAGGCCACUGAAGGGACCCUGGUCCCCUCCUUUUUCCCUUCUUGCUUCCUGAUGGCUCUGAGGUGAAGAGACCUCCACCACACAUUUCUACCAUGAUGUGUUAUGCCACCACAGGACCUAAUAAUUGUGGACAGGAACCUCUAAAACUGUGUGUCCAAAUAAACCUUUCCUCCUCUAAGUUAGUUUAUCUCUGGUAUUUUGUUAUGGCAACAGAAAAGUGACUAACAUAGGGACCCUGCACAUAGUGAUAACCCUUUCCUAAAAAUGCAGUGACCUGCUUACUUAUGUAGAUCUCAUUCUUCACCUGAAGUAAAGUUGAAUUAUAUUGAGAGAACAGAUUAAUGUGGGUAUGGAUUCAUAUAGAAGCUGAUUGACAUAGACCUCUCCUUCUUCCUCCCUUGCUCCCGGAAAGAAAAGCUUAAGUUGUAUAACAAGACAAAUUAAAGGUAAAGAUAUAUGGGAUCUUGCCAAAUGGGGAGGAGGGGAAAGGAAAUACAGGUUUAGAGAAGCAGAAGAAGCCGUCCAUACCUCAAGACUGAUAUUCCUUUUAUCUAAAACACAGUGCCCCCCCCCCCAAAUUCAUGGCUAGAAGCAAGAACAUUUAAUUUGUUCCUGAGUUGGCAAUUUGGCCAGGUUCAGUGGGAACAGCAUGUGUCUCCCUCCACUCAGCUGAAGUUGUUGUAAGGCUGGGGCUGGGUCUGUUCUCCUCACUCACUCGCAUGUACUGGCUGUCGGCUGGGGCUGCCCAUGUGGCCUGGACUUCCUCUUCCCCAUGUGCCGGCUGGGGUCCCAGGAUGAGCAUCUUCCCAGGGGGAGAGGGCCAGGCAGAAGCUGAGACACCCUUUCCAACCCAGCCUGGAGAGUCGCGCUGCUUUACUUUGCACCUGUCCAUUGGCAGUGAGUCACCAAGUGCGUGUCUUCUCAGGCCGCGGUUAACAAACAGACUGGGUGGCUUAACCCAUGGAAUUUAUUUCCUGUUCUGAAGGCCACCAGACUGAGCCCACGAUGUUGGUGGGGCCUCUACCCUCAGUUUGAGGAUGGCCCUCCUCACCCCGUGUCUUCACAGGAUCUCCCCUCUGUCUGUCCGUGUCCUGCUGUCUCCUCCCUAUAAGAACAUGGAUCAGACGAGAUUUAGGGCCUACCCUAAAGACCUCGUCUAAACUGACCUCUUUCAAGGUCCUGUCUCCAAAUACAGUCACAUUCUGAAGUACUAGGGAUUAGGGUUUCAAUUUAGGAAUUCGGAAAAGGACACAACUGAGCCCAUGACAUCCAGCCCAGGCCAUAUUCAAAGGGAGAGGAAUAUUAAAGAAUCUGCACAAGUAUUUUAACACAACCACCACUGGGUAAGUGGCAGGGGUUUUGACAAGUCCUGUAUGUAGUUGACAGGUCCCUAGGCUCCACCCUCUGCCAGUACCCUUGAAAGGGUGUGGAAUCUCAGAGGUCAGUGGGAUAGUGGCUUUCAGGAAAGAUCCCUCAGCCCACAGGUGCGAGCAGCACAUGGUACUAUUCACUAACAGAAGGGCCACAGGUUUUAAAAAUCAGCAUUUGAGCCAUGAAGUGACUCAAAAAGACUCUUCUCCUGUUACCCAACCUCCAAAUAAGAUACUAGAUUCUGGCAUGAACGUAGGGGCUGGAAAGGCUCUCAGAAUCAUGACUGAGAUUGAAUUUCCCACCAACCUGAUGAGUGAGGGCUUAAGAGUUAGAUUUUAUUUAACUUGAAGUAAUGUGAUGUUCCUUCCAACUGAGCUGGGGACCAAGAACACGUGGGUUAUAGUAGAAAAGAAUUAUGUCGGCUUUUCACAUGAGAUAAUGCACUCAUCCAAAAACCAUUACAGUAAGAGUUAUCAGCUAACCUCCUCUAUUCUGACAGAUUCCAGCAGCUGCAGGAAUGGUGCAUUUCCCUGAAGAGUGACUGCCAUAGAUGACUCUAUUAGUCUGUUUUUCGUUGCUCUCACAAAAUACCUGAGCCUGAUUACUUAUAAGCAAAGAGGUUAAUUUAGCUCAUGGUUAUGGAGAGUCAAGAACAUGGCACCAGCAUCUGCUCGGCUCUGGUGAUGGUCACUGGGGCAGGACACUGAAGGGUCUCUGGUCCCUUCCUUUUUCCCUUCUUGCUUCCUGAUGGCUGUGAGGUGAAGAGACCUCCACCACCAUACACUUCUACCAUAAUGUACUGUGCCACCACAGACCCAAGGCAACAGGACCUAGUAACUGUGGACAAAAUCCUCUAAAACUGUAUGUCAAAAUAAACCUUCCUUCCUUUAAGUUAAUUUAUCUCUAUUUAUCUAUUUGUUAUAGCAAUAGAAAGUUGACUAACACAUGUUAUAGCCAGAGGCUAUAGCAUGGUUGCUGGAUGCCAUCAUAGUGGGAGGAUGUGUAAGAAGGAGAGAUCAUAUGGUGACAUGGGAGGCCAGAGACAUUCCAGCAAGCCUUGUUCUUUUUGUAACUCACUCUUGCAGGAACUAACUGAGGUCCUGUGAGAAUUACAUUCAUCGCUUCUGAGUAUUCACCUCAUGGUCCGAUUACCUUGCAUUAGGAUCCACCUCUUAGAGGUCUAACUGCCUUAACACUACCACAAUGAGGACCAAGCUUCCAAUGAAAUUUGGAGGAUACAUUCAAACCACAUCUGAACUUACAGCAGAGUAGUUUUUCAAAAAUCAAAUUAAGAUGUCAUUUUUAGCAUUCAAAUGAGUGGAGAAGUGGAGGACAGUUAGGGAGAGCUCACCCUGGGGAAGACCCCUGGGCAGGGUGGAUGUGUCCAUGUACCACUCACUCUCUUUCUGUCUUGCUCUCAAGUGUCCCACAGAACCGGUCACCUCUUUUCUAUACUUCUUGAAAUGCCACCAAUAAGCAAUUUAGUUAAACUGACACAUUCCCCCGGCAGGUUGAAGGGGUGAUCGUUUUGUUCAUUAAUUCUGUACCAGGACAUUUUGGUUGACUCAGGGACUCGUUAUCUGGUCCUUUAUUGGUUCGAGGGGCUUCAGUUUCAGCUGGUUAGAGGGUGUUGUGUUGAUGGAUGGGCUCAUUGGACCUACUUUCUUAGGAGCACAGAGACAAAACCUCCCCCUUCAUCUCUCAGGGGUUCAGAGUUUUGAUAUUUGUUUGUCCACCCAGAGUCACUUCACCAUGGUUGAUUUCAGAAAGUGUGAUACGGCCCAGAAAGAUGAUUCUCCAUGAGAGAAAAAGAUAUUGAACCAACGGUGAGAUGUGAGAAUGGAUGUUAUUCGGGGUCUACAGGAUGUAUUUCUAUUAUAUAUAUUUCCUCCUGUGGGUUGGGUCUGUGGCCCAACGGUUAUGGUACCACCUAGAGCAGGGGACCAACAUGACCUUCCACCCACUCUGGUAGCCUUGGGUCAAUUCCAAGUCUCUGGCCUUAGGACAAAUUGGAUUAGUAAAUACCAUCUGAAAUGAGUCACCUCAUUGCCUAUUCUUCUCCCGUCAUGCCAGUCUCCCUAAAGCAAAAUAUUAAUAAAUGCCACUACAUAAAAAUUAAAAUGUCUUUAUGGAAGGAAGCAAAUUCCACAAAGUCAAGAGACGAACAAUAAAGUGGUCGGUGAUAUUUGUGACACAUACAAUGGACAAAGAGUUAAUUUCCUUAUUUUACAAAGAGCUCAUACAAAUCGAUAUGAAUUAAAUAUGAAAAGGCCAAUUGAAAAAUGGGCAAAGGAUAUGAAAGGCAGUUUUUCAGAAAAACAAAUGCAAAUAUCUAAUAACUUUAUGAAAAGAAGUUUGACUUUCCUCAAAUUAAAGUCAUGCAAAUCCAGAUGACAUACCGCCAUGUUUCUGCUAUCAGAUGGGCGAAAGCUUAAAAAGUCUGUUAUCUUCAGUGUUGAUGAGUGAAGGAGAAAGCAGAUAUUCUCAUUCACAGUCAUUGUGCAGAGAACUGGAUAUAAUAUUUUAGCCAAGCAUUUUGAUAAAAUGGGUGAGUAUUUCUUAUCCCUUAUGCUUGGGACUAAAGUGUUCAAAUUUUAGAUCUUUUUUUCAUAUAUGGAAUAUUUGAAGAGACUUCUCUAUUGAGUGUUUCUAAUCUAAAAAUAUAAAGUCAGAAAAGCUCCAAAACCUGAAACUUUUGAACAUCAUGUUGAUGCUCAGAAGUUUCAGAUUUUGGAACAUUUUAUAUUAUUAUGUUGGGGUGUUUUAUUUAUAUCAAUCACGAUUGUAAAUUCAUACAUUCUUUGACCCAUGAGGAAGAGUGUAAAUCAUAAUGUACACUCAUGGACAUACAAUCUAACAGUAGAUAGGAGAAUACUCACCGCAGCAGUUUGAAAGGGGACAAUGGGAAAAGGUAUCAUUGGGGAUUUUUUUAUUAUAAUUACUGAAACAUCCUUAUGAUGGAAUAUUAUACAGUCACCAAAAGAAAGUACUAAACUACAUCCAAGCUAUUGAGGGAGAAAAGUAGUACAGAAUAGCAGGCACAAAACGGUCCCAUUUAUGUGAAUGAUAUACAGUACGUAUGCAUAAAACAUUUCUGGAAAUAUUUUUAAACAUGGGGAAUGGGGAGUCAAGAAGGGAAUAAGGCAAUUUUACUUUUUGUGACAUGUAUCUCUUUUAAAUUAACUUUUUUAUCAUUUGCAUAUUUUGCAUUUAUUUACUUAGUUUCUUUUUUUUUUUUUUUUUUUGGAACUCUUCCUGUAAUACACAGCCUGUUUACAUGAGUAUGCUCCAGGUGUACCUGUACUUACUGGGUAGGGUGUUGUGUUGUCUGGCAAAAGGUCUCCCUAAGUGGGACAACAUCAGGAAAUUGCUGGCCCAAUUUAGGAGCAUCAUGUGAGAUGUUGUGGGGAGAGGGGGCCCCGGGAAGCCGAGGUCCUCUCUGAACAAGGUGGAGCAUUGUUUUAGUUAGCUUUUUCAUUGCUAAGACCAAAACACCCAAUAAGAACAACUUAGAGGAGGAAAAAUCUGGUGCUCACAAUUUCAGAGGACUCAGCUCAUAGACGGCCGACUGCAUGGCUCUGGGCCCAAGUGAGGCAGCACAUCAUGGGGGACAGGCCUGGUGGAGGAAAACUGCUCAGCUCAUGGUGGGGCCAGGAAACAGAGAGGGAAUAGGACAGGGGCCACAGGGAAGGAGCACCCUUCCAGGGUACACUCCAGGGGCCCACCUCCCUAUAGCUAUCACCCAGUCAGUCCACUCAACCUUGGAUGGAUUGGUUAAAGUUACAACUCUUGCAACCUAAUCAUUUCACUUCUGAAUAUUUCUCUAUUAACAGGAUCUGUGGGGCCCCCCUCAUAUCCAGACCAUAAUGAACACAAGUCAGUGAACCAUCUGGAUUAGUACUGAAAUUUCUUGGUUUUUAUGGACUGGUGGGAUCUAGAAAAGCUUGGACCUCAAGGAUAAAAGUUAUCUCUCCAGCCCUCCAGUCACUGCCCAGUUCUGGUGAAAGUUUUAAGUAGAAUUGCUCCUAAACAAGCUGGGGCUGAAGAUAAAUAUGUUGUCCAUCAGUGGAAGGAAGCAGGACUUGGAAAAUAUUAGUUUGUGAGCACAAAACCCCAAAGAUAAAAGACCAGUUCUUGGAUUUUAUAGACAUCUUGGGAUUUAUUUUCUAAACAGUUGUGCUGGCCUGCACAGAGACAGGAUGAUUGGGUCUUGUAGUGAGAUUCUACAAGACGACAUCUCAGAAUGCAGAGAUUUGGCUUCAGAUUGCUUUUCCAGCAAGAAAAGUGAAGCCCCAUCCUGUUGGCGAUUCAUCUUGCAGUUGUGGAUUGAAGUCGCUGAAGAAGUUGCAUUUAUAUGAAACAUCCUAAAGACUACUCUAUCUUGGAUGGUGAUUGUGGAGAGAUAGAAUGCUGCAGGUUAAGAGACAAAAUUUUCUUGGACUAUCUUAACUCCUUGAAUAGCCAUUUACCUUAACUUAAAAAAAAAAAAAAAAACUAAUCCCACAUUCUUGUAAAUAAUAGAUGAGCUUCUAAGAAUAUAUCUCUAUAUGCAAACCUCCAGUGCCCACUUACCCUAAAGCUAAGGCUGUUGAAAGAUUCCAUCUGAAACCAUAGAAGAGAUGCUCUCCUUUCUGUAGCCCCCCACCUCAAGCUCCUACCAGUGUAAUUGGUCAGUUUAUUAAUUGAUUGAUGACCUUUUUUGAUGAUUAAAGUUCAUGUAACUUUUAUAAGUUCUUCCAUGAUGGCCCAUACAUUCAGGAAACUUGAAACCAUCUUCCUGGGCCAUGGUAAUUUAACAUGGAAAAUUAAUAUGGUAAAUUAGCAUGGUAAUUUAACAUUUAACUCAGAAAUAAACAACUUUCUUAGUUCCUACAAAGCAGUCUUCCCUCCCUCCCUUCCUCCUCCUCCUCCUCCUCCUCGUCCUCCUCCUUCCUCCUCCUCCUCCUCCUCCUCUUCCUCCUCCUCCUCCUCUUCCUCCUCCUCCUCUUCUUCUUCUUCUUCUUCUUCUUCUUCUUCUUCUUUUCUCUCUCUCUCUCUCUCUCUCUCUCUCCCUCCCUCCCUCCCUCCCUCCCUCCCUCCCUCCCUCCCCACCUCCCUCUUUCUUCUUUGUUUGACACAGUCUCACAGCCAAAGUGUGUGGCUUCAUAGAUAGUAUAAUAGUUCCAAAUGAACUCAAGUGUUUUAGCUCCAAAUCUCAUGAACUCUCAUAAAUAACAGUUCUCAAACUUUAACAGGCAUCCGAAUUGCCUGGAAAAGAGUGUUGAAAGAAAUGGCUAUCUGGGUCCCAUCCCCAGGGUGUCUGAUUCAGUAGGGCCCAGGGUGGGAUUCAGAAUUUGUAAGUUCUCAAAUGACACUGUUGGGUCUUAUGAACACACGUGGAGAACUUCUGGUUUAUAAAUAUACUUCACCAAUUUUUUCCCCUCUCUCAUCGACAAUGCGCACAUCCUUCAGUCUCAUGCUCACCUAACAACCUGCCUAAAAGACAUCUUUAAUGAUCACUGAGACUUGAAUCCCCUUCUCCUUUUCCUAACACCAAAGAACUCCUUUGGCAAUGGCAGAAGCUUCCUUGAAAGGGUGUGCAGGAGAAAACACUGAACAGGCAAAACCAGGGGCCUCUUUUGCAGUCAGAGAGAGAACUGAGAAUAUCCCAGGGUUAAUUUUUGUGGUCAUCUAUCUUCCAUCAGGGUCUGGGGCACUGGUGGUAAGCAGGGAUGGGAGUGGGGGAGGGGAGGGGCUUUGGUCUCUGAAUCUCCCUGUGGCUGCUUAAGGAUGGGGGUAUCAGAGAAUCUUGGUGGCCCCAUUCCCAGAAGGAGAAAAACAGAAAUCUCCACUGUUUGUUUUUAGAAGCCAGUGGGGCCUGGCUUCCUGCAGAGCCGCUCACAGCUCUUCUUUCUUGCUUUUUAUUCUCCUCCCCUGUACCUCCUGGGGGAUGAUUCCUUUCAUCCAGGGGCUGCCUUCUGAAGCAGCACACCAGGCCACACACACAGUGAUUAUCCCAGAGGGGCCCAGGACCCCUGGGGCAGCAGGAGCAAGGGAGUAUUUUUGUUGGACAAUGAUGGAAAUUUUCUUUUUCCUCUCCAUUUCCCUAGUGGAAAAUAUAAGAAGACAGGAAAGAAGGGAGGAAGGAGGAAGGAAGUCAAGAGAGAAAGAAUCAGGUUCAGAGUGUAGAUAGGGGGUAGGGCUUGAACAUACCCUGUUUAAAAAAAUGAUCCCUCCUCCUUCUCUGGGCAAUACUAAUCUCCUAGGUAAAGUAGCUUUUGCUCAAAUUUAAAAGUACUUUUCUAAAAAACAAAAUCCAAAACAAAACUAAAAAAAAAGGAGACUCAGCCCAGCUGUUAAACCAGUGGUUUCACAGAGCAGUGUUUCUUACAUCUUGAGGCCUAAAGGAGUCCUCAUUGUUUUGAAGAUAGCCCUUUAUCCAACACAGGCGAGAAGCCUGAAACUGGAGGUAAAACUUUCUAAGACAGAAAAUAUUUAUUCUGUGGUGCUGACCAAGGCCAUCCACUGCAGAGAGCUGGGUUGCUGCAGGAAGACCCACAUUAUAAGCCAGGUCCUACUGCCUACCAGCUCUCAAGGGGAUUUCUAAGGAAGUGUACUCUUCACUCAAUCAACAAGCAUUUAUUGAGCACCAACUCUUGUGCUGAAAUUCAAAGAUAUAGACAAUAUCAUUCUGUUCCCAGGGGAUUUGAAGUUCAAUAGAAGAGAUGGAUAAAUCUACGGAUAAUUACAAUAUAGCUAUAAGAGGGGUGGGAAACAUGUUGUGUUCCAGCAGCAUGCAAGGGGGCCGUAGCAUCAGUUUGGUUGGAAGAGGUUUCCUGGAAGAGGCUAUAGUUGAACUGAGCCUGGAACAAGGAGUGGGAGGGGUUGGGGGCCCAGAAAGAGCCUCCUAAGCAGAGAGAAUAGAAGGCAUGUGCUCCAGGGCCCUGAAAUUGCAUAAAUUACAGAGGGAAUUGCAAAUUGUGUUGGAUCACAGGGUCUCUGGGGGUGUGAUGUGGAUAGGGUCAGGUCACAGAGGCUCUGUGUACUGAGGCCAAGUUUCAAUUAACCAAAGCUGCAAAGAGAAAUUUUGCAUAAUUAGUUAUAAUAAUAAUAAUUACAAUCAUCAUCAUGAUAACUACAUUUAUUGAGCCCAUCCAUGGCUAUCAUUUAACUCUCAUAACAGCCUCAAGAGAUAGGUACUGAUAUUCCACCUGUUCAAACUGAUGAGGAAUUUGAGGCUCAGAGAGGAUCGGCAACUUGGAGAUGUGCUGGUGAGAUUCCCAACCCCAUCAGAUCCCGAAGCACCUUUUAGUGACUGAUAUUUUUUUAAAUUGCCUUAUUAAUAUGAAAUAAAAUUCAAACUGAACAGAAUCCAUUUUAGAACAUACUUAAAAUAUGUAUAAUGCCCAUCUGUAACCUAACUUAAAAAUGAAGAAAAAUAAUUUAGAAUAAAAUAAUAUGUAUUUCCAUAUGGGAGCAGUCAGACCUGACUGUUCUAGAAACAAAAUAGUCAGUGGUUGAACUUAUAUAUAGACUCACCUUAAAUGCAAAGCUGCAGAUGUAGACAGAUACCUGUGUGUUGAAGGAAUGAAGUCUACACUAUGAGCAUCGAGGCUGAUGGUAAACCCAUCGUUUUGAAAAGGUGAUGCAUCCUUGGGAAAGUUCUGAGUCACAAACUACAAAGUUCCCUCAAAGACUGAUGGCAGAACUGCAGUGUGGACCUCUAUCAGCUAAUCCAAAGUUUAGGAUGAUUGCUUCCCAUGGAGAUGACUUCAUAUCUCAGGGGCACCAGGGCCAGACUGGGAGGGGUCUGGAAGAACUCUGGGAGAGCUGGGUGUGGCUAUGCAGAGUCCCAUCUGUUCCCCCCCACCACCACUGGAGUUUGCAAUGUUGAGUUGUUUGCUUGCUUAAUACUGUAUUUUUCCCAAUGAGUGGGAUCUCUUCAGUUCUGGGCUCCUGACUGAGUUUUCCUGCUCCUGCCAUGGAGAUUUCCAAGUCUUUUGACAAGUAUGCAUCAGAACUCCAGCCCCAUCUACAAGUUCUGCUGAUGGAGCACAUAUAGCACGGCCUGUCAUACUUAAUAAGACUCCGAAAAUGACAAAUUGUUCAUCAAUUGUCCAAGCAUUUGUCAAACCUCUAUUUUGUGUGUAUGAUCUAUUGUUUCUAACAAACCACUAUAAACCUUAGUGUCCUAAAGUCCCUAAACCCUAUGGGUUGAACAAUAUGUGUUUCUCCUUGAUAUGGUGUUUGGUGGGGCACUUAUUUACCAGUUGAUCAACUAAGAGCUUUAUUUCUCCUUUAUGUAAGCCCCUCCACAUAGUUGCUUGAGUUUCCUCACAGUAUGGCUGCUGAAUUCCUGAAAGAAGCUCUCUAAGAACAGGCAGAGGCUGCAGGUCUUUGAAGGCACAGCUCUAGUGUUACACAGCACCACUUCUGCAGCUUCCUAAUGGUCAAAACAAGUCACAGGGUCAUCCCAGAUUCAAGGAGAAGUGAAAUAGACUAUAUCUUUUAGUGAUUAGUUGGAAGGAAUGUAUGGUCCUCUUUACUUCACCAGAACCUACCAUAUACCAGGCACUCCUAUCUACCUCCUCUUCAAGAACACUGAUGUUUCAUGUUAGUGAAUGUUUCUGGGUGUGUUUUGUGUAUGUACAUUUCAGAGUCAUCUUAAUACUGUGUCUAUAAAGCUUAGAAUAAUAUAUAUAUAUAUAUAUAUAUAUAUAUAUAUAUAUAUAUAUAUAUAUAAAACAUAACACAAGAAGAAGUGGUCAAUCAGCUACACAAGUAGAUAUGUACAUAGAGAGACUCUGGAUGGAAGUUCUUGAUGCCAUACGAGCCUGAAUCAGGGGCAUAAAGCCAUAACCUAGAAAAUCAGAAAAAAAUCUGAUAUAGUAACAUUCAAGCUGAGAUCUGAAGAAUCCAUGGAGCUAUUUAAGUUAUAUGUCUGCAAUGGACAUAGUAUAUCCUCAAGUAAUAUUUGUUGAGUGAGUGAAUGAAUCUUAGCCAUAUUAUGACAGUCUGAGCCAAGAAAGUCAGGGGUGCUGGAGAACAGAGAGGAUGGAGGGUUUUGGUGUGAAGUAAGUUCAGAGGAGGAUAGAUGUGCAGAUGCUGGUGUUAAGUAUGUGGGUCUUCAGCCCUCGAGUAAUGGAUUUGAAGCCAGAGCAAUUUGGUUCAGUAAGGUCUGGGCUUUGAGAAGGUCGUCUGACUGUAAUGUAGAGAAUGAAAUGUUUGGAGGCGUAGGUGGUGGGUGGGAGGAGCAGAGGUUGAAGGGAGGAGGGAGAUUGGAGGGUGCUAUGUAGUGGACCAUGAGAGUGGUGUAGGACACACCCACCAAACCACAGGGAGUUAGCAAGAACCCUGCAGAGCAAGGUCAGAACACUGGGAAAGAAAUGGCUCUUUAGUGGUGGCCACUUCCUCUACUGCCCCAGGAGACUGUGGGAAUCUCUCUAUAGACUGGACCAACCAGCAGGGCUCUGAGCCCUGGAGGUAAAUGGAGACACCCUGGAGAAAAGGCAAAGAAGUGAAGCAAGCAAAACUCGCUACCUCUCAGAGCUGCCAUUCUGCCCAGGUACUGCGGUGCCUUCUCCACCUCAGGCUCUGUAGAGGAUUAUUGAUUUCUGCUGCUGAGAAUAUAACUUUAGCACUUGCUUUCGGGCCUCUCAUUUUAUGCCGUUCUUGAGACCGUGGCUUUGAAGAUCGAUGGCUCUGAACAAGACAGAGGAGAGGAGAGCGAGAUUUCUCCACUCAAGCUUACGCUGUCUCAAGGUGGUGCAUGAAUCACUGUCAAGUCCCUGGACACAGGAGCCACAGAAAUAAGGGCCAUGCAUUUAGGAUUCCCCAUAGGUGGCCUUGCAAGAGUUUUGCAUUUAUGAUUUUUAUUGUGGAAAAUUUCAAACAUUCAAAAGUAGAAUAGUAUAGUGAAUCCCACCAUCAUCUCCAACCAUUGAUAACUCAUGGCCAAUCAUGUCUCAUCGGUAUCCACAAACUCUCUCCUCCUGCAUUGCUGAGGCCAACUCCUAGGCUCCACAUGAUUCCAUCUGUGAAUGUUUCAGCAUGAUUCUCUAUAAGAUAAGGGCUCUGCAAGAGUUAAAAAUCUUAGUGACCUAAAGUAUUAUUUUGGACAAUGAUCCAUAUAGGAUGGUGGUCCAUAAGAGUUCAGUGGAGAUGGAAAUCUCCUAUUGCCUGGUGACAUCAUAUCCAUCCUAAGGUCAAGGUCGCAGUGUAAUGCAUUACUGUUUCCAUGGUGAUGUUGUGUAAACAAACCUGUCAUGCUGCCAGUAGCAUAAAAGGGUAGCAAUAUGAUUUAAUUAUAUUGCAUAGUACAUUAAGAUUAUAUGGUACAGUAAUAAUACUUGAUAAUGAUAAUAAAUGACUAUGUUACUGGUUCAUAUAUUUAUCAUGCUAUACUAUUUUUAUUGUUAUUUUAGAGGAAUGAUUUUUACUUAUUAAAAAAAGUAAUUUUUUUUACAUUACGCUCAUAGCAGCCUCAUGCCUACCAUGUACUGCAUCUUUUGAUCAUAUCAAGAGGCCAUACAGAGCAAAAGCCUUCUAUCAUCUGGGUUUGUGUUAAGUAUACUCUGUGACAUUGACACAAUGACCAGAUCGCCUAAUGCACUUUCCAGAAUGCAUUCCUAUUGCUGAAUGAUGUGUGAUUGUGUUUGUAAUUAUGAUGUAAUUUAUGUCGUGAUUUAUUAUGGUGACUUCUUUUUUUUUUUACCAAUACAAAAGUAUUUUAAUUUUUAAAAAUAUAUAACUGAAAUUAUUAUUAAUUUUAAGAUAAAGGCACUUGGCUUCUUUUCUUUUCUGUUGCUAUUAACUUUUUUUAAAAUUUAUUUUUUAAAUACAUGACAAUAGUGGAAUGCAUUACACUCAUUAUUACCCUUAUAUAGCACAAUUUUUCGUAACUCUGUAUAUAAAGUAUGUUCAUGCCAACAUGGUGACUUCUUCAUGUUAUCAAAUAGUUAAUAGAUAUUUGUGCACUUCUCAAUCAUCUUGUAAAUGUUGUUGUUGCUUGUUUUUAUUUGUUCAAUUGAAUCAGAAUUCAUUUCUAAUGCUGAGAUCCACACCUUAAAUUGAUUUCUAGACCUCAUAGGUCCUUGGUAAUCUAUAGAGUCUCCCUAUGUCUCUCUUGUUUGGCAAGUAUUUUGUAGAAGAAAGUAGGUGGGUUGUCUGGUAAAAUUUCCCACAUCUUGAUCUUGCCGAUAACCUCUUUGUGGUGACAUUUAACAGAUACCUUGUCCCCUGUGUUUCCUGUUAAGUCCGAGUUGGAUGUUGAAUUUUGAUUAAAUUCCUAAUCAAUGUUUUCUGGCAAAGCUACUUGGUAGCCGGAGCUCUGUUCUUUCAUCAGGAGAUACACAGUGUCGACUCUCUGCAAUGGAAGCCGUCAUCGAUCAUUGCUUAGACACAUUAGUUCAUUAGGGAUUGCAAAAGGGUGAUGAACUAAUUCUACAGUCUAUCUUUAAAAAAAUAUUAUUAGCCAGAAUGCUUCCAUACAGAGAAACUUUCCGUCAUUAACUACUUGGUUAUGCUGAGGCAUUGUUCUUAUAGAUAAACAUGAUUAAUGUUCAAUUCUUUCCCUUUGUUUAACAAUUUUCCAAGUAAUGUGUUGAUUCUGUAGCAAUCUCUAAGGAUGACUAAUGAAUGUUUUUAAAUAUCAUGGAUUAAAAGAUAUUAGAUGUGGAUUUGAAAGUUAUUAAUGCUCAAGUGAUUCCAUCCUUGGCCAAAGGGAGCCUCUUCAAGUUUCCUCCGGAAUCCUUUGACACAAUCCUAGUAGUCUUUGAUGGCUUUCCUUGCUUUCUGGUGUGACAAAUUCUUCAUUGGUACAUUUCCUGCUUUGGACAUCAAAUCAGUCAUUUCUCCAAGGAGCCCCGAACUCUCUUUGAGAAAUGCAUUUAGAGAUAGCAAAUCUAGGCAAAUGAGUGCUCAAGUGUUUCUGCAUGGCUGUUUCCAGAUACUUCCUGUGAAUAGAACUAGGGAAUAUGUAUCAUGCGGAUAUGUAUCGAACAGAUAUUUUCUAUUCAAAUUCAGGAUUAUGGGAUUUUAGCCACUGUCAUCUAUCUUACAUUUGUAUUUCUUUUCUCCUAUCUUGAAAUUCCUGGUUUUCAAUGUCACCCACAAAAUCAUUCAUUUGAUUUAUAACAUGCUACACUCACAAUGGCCCCAGAAUAGUGCCAGCAUUGUCCCUAACUCGAUUAAUAAAGACAAUUUGUUUCUCCAGUUCCUUUCUUCCUGAGGAUAUAUCUUAGUAAGAAUGUACAGCCAAAUAACUAUGAUUUACACUUCAAAUAACUCCUUUGUAUUUGAUUAUAUCAAUGACUAGUUAGUUACAUUUCAUUUAACUUGGAGUUUACAGGGAGUACUUUUAAAAAUGAGAUAUAUUAAAAGAAAUCCCUGUCCUGUCUACUCAAUAGCUUCUUCUCCCUAUAAGGAACCACUUACAAAUUUAAAAUUUUUCUUUCUACUGCAUGAAUAUAAAGACAUUACGUAGAUAUAUAUAUAUAUAUAUAUAUAUAUAUAUAUAUAUAUAUAUUUAGAUAAGUUGUACUCACAACUUCUCCUUGCUUAAAAUGUAGUAUAUUAUACACAUUAUUUAACAUUUGGCUUUGUUUUAAGCUAAUAAUAUAUCCUAGAUCACACACACACACACACACACACACACACAUACAAACCGGUUUCUCUAAUCCCACCCAUGCCACUUAGCUGUGUGAUCUUGGGCAUGCAACUUAACCUUUUUGAGCUCUCUUCUCAUCUAUAACAGUAGAGCAACACUGUUUCCCUCCCAAAGUCGUCCUGGAGGUUACCUGUGUCAGCACUAACAUAGUGGGUAACACAUAGUAGGCUCUCAAAUUUUUAUAGAUGCCAUAAUAUUUAAUAAUGUUUAUGUGCCUCCCAUUUCAUUUCCUAUCAGUGUGUCACAGUGAAGCCUAAGAGGGCUGGUUGGGGAAACUAAGAGUCAUUGAAAAAGAACUCAAAGAAUUAGAAUGUUAAGACUGGCAAGAGCCCGUAGAGACCUAGGUAGUUAUCCCAGUUAUUUUACAGAGAGAAAAAUAGAGACCCAGAGAGGUGAUGUGAUAGGCCCAAAGUCAUAGGUCAGGAUGGGAAGGGUCUGCUGGGGAUGCCAGUCCAAUUAUUUUUCAAGAUCAGUUUCCUUUAAAGCCAAGCUCAUCUUCUGCACUUGUUUCUCUGCACACCACCACCAUUCUCUGUAAAAGGAGAAGCAGGGUGAGGGACAGGUCAGGGAAACUGCCUUCAAUAAGAGCUCCCUUCCUCCCUCCCCUCCUCCCUCCCCUCCUGGGGAUUCUGUGAGGAGGGCUGGUGCUGGCACUGAUCCCUAUCUUUGAGUCAGGGCUCAUUAAUACACCCAGUUGGGGACUGUGGCCAUAAGCAAGUUCUAGAAACAGCUUCUUGCCCUCAGGGGGCUUUCAAGCUAUUAAAACAACUUCAAGCUCAUUUAAAAACCAAAUAUGGCUGUAAAAAUAUAUGUCAGUGUUUAAAAUAGUAAUGAGUUUGAGUGGCAUUAUCUUAUUUUCAUUACCACAACCCUAGGAGACUGCCAGUAUUAUUGCUUUCUCUCUUAUAUAUCAGGAAGAGAAAAAAAAAAGGCUUAAGUAGAUACUGCAGCUUUCUCAAAGUCAUGCAGCUGAUGAGCAGCAAAACUGGAUUUGGGUUUGGGUCUGACUCCGACUUCCAUGCUGCUGAUCAGAUGCCAAGGGGACGAUGGAACAUUUUCACUUCCACUUGUUUGAGACAAAGAGAAGGAAAUAAACAGGGUAUUCUGGGGUAGUGUGAGGUCGUUCCAUGUUUAAUUCAUCCAUUCAUUCAUCCCUUCAUGCAUUCUUGCCCUAAAAAUCUAAACUUUAAAGACUGUCUGGGUUUGGGGGUGGGGAUGUGCUCAAGCGGUAACGCGCUCGCCAGGCAUGUGUGGGGCGCUGGGUUCGAUCUUCAGCACCACAUAAAGUAAAGAUGUUGUGUCCACCUAAAACUGAAAAAUAAAUAUUAAAAAAAUUCUCUCUCUCUCUCUCUCUCUCUCUCUUUCUUUAAAAAAAAAAAGACUGUCUGGUUUGAAUCCUGGCACUAUCCCUUACUAGCUGAGAAGGUAACUUAUCUUCUCUGUGUCUCAGUUUCCUCAUCAGUGUGAUGGGGAUAAUUGUACCCACUUUAUGGGCUGUUCUGAGAUUUUAAUGAGUUCAUACAUUAAAGCAGUUAAAAAUGUGCCAUAACCCACUUGUAUCAAAUGUAUGAAAUAUGAUAUGUCAAGAACUAUGUAAUGUUUUGAACAACCAAUAAUAAAAAUUUAAAAAAAUA